Molecule: ribosomal RNA, 359 nt
Filed under: uncultured Glomus
Lineage: Eukaryota; Fungi; Glomeromycota; Glomeromycetes; Glomerales; Glomeraceae
Description: SSU rRNA
Rfam family: Eukaryotic small subunit ribosomal RNA
Source: RNAcentral
AUUUGGACUGUUACUUUGAAAAAAUUAGAGUGUUUAAAGCAAGCUAACGCUUGAAUACAUUAGCAUGGAAUAAUGAAAUAGGACGUUCGAUCCUAUUUUGUUGGUUUCUAGGAUUGACGUAAUGAUUAAUAGGGAUAUUGGGGGCAUUAGUAUUUCAAUUGUCAGAGGUGAAACUCUUGGAUUUAUUGAGGACUAACUACUGCGAAAGCAUUUGCCAAGGAUGUUUUCAUUAAUCAAGAACGAAAGUUAGGGGAUCGAAGACGAUCAGAUACCGUCGUAGUCUUAACCAUAAACUAUGCCGACUAGGGACCGGAUGAUGUUAAUUUUUUAAUGACUCAUUCGGCGCCUUACCGGGAAAC